This 241-nucleotide long non-coding RNA is filed under the name Elaeis guineensis (African oil palm). RNAcentral describes it as "long non-coding RNA (EGUI_LNC057734)". The record is from RNAcentral. Lineage: Eukaryota; Viridiplantae; Streptophyta; Magnoliopsida; Arecales; Arecaceae.
GCAAAGGUCCAAGGCGUGGUGACAUUUGGAACAGGAAGGCUGCAGGACAUCUUCGACAGGCUGCUGCUCCAACUUCAGAAGGAGUUCUGAAGUACUUUCAAAUCAGAUAGAGAUCUAAUUUUUGGAGCAUAGAUUUGUAAUGAGAAGAUGUUCUUGGUCCUUCCUAAGUAGAUAUCAGUAGAGGUCAGGCACUUGCGUGGCUACAUCAGAACUUUGGGCUGUGCUGAGAUCAUCUACAGGG